This 406-nucleotide ribosomal RNA is filed under the name uncultured bacterium. RNAcentral describes it as "partial 16S ribosomal RNA". It matches the Rfam family "Bacterial small subunit ribosomal RNA", at positions 30 to 526 of the family's 1533-position model. The record is from RNAcentral.
AUUGAACGCUGGCGGCAGGCCUAACACAUGCAAGUCGAACGAGUGGCGGACGGGUGAGUAAUGUCUGGGAAACUGCCUGAUGGAGGGGGAUAACUACUGGAAACAGUAGCUAAUACCGCAUACCAUCGGAUGUGCCCAGAUGGGAUUAGCUAGUAGGUGGGGUAACGGCUCACCUAGGCGACGAGCCCUAGCUGGUCUGAGAGGAUGACCAGCCAAACGGGAACUGAGACACGGUCCAGACUCCUACGGGAGGCAGCAGUGGGGAAUAUUGCACAAUGGGCGCAAGCCUGAUGCAGCCAUGCCGCGUGUAUGAAGAAGGCCUUCGGGUUGUAAAGUACUUUCAGCGGGGAGGCGUUACUCGCAGAAGAAGCACCGGCUAACUCCGUGCCAGCAGCCGCGGUAAUUC